AUCCUGGCUCAGGACGAACGCUGGCGGCGUGCCUAAUACAUGCAAGUCGAGCGGACAGAUGGGAGCUUGCUCCCUGAUGUUAGCGGCGGACGGGUGAGUAACACGUGGGUAACCUGCCUGUAAGACUGGGAUAACUCCGGGAAACCGGGGCUAAUACCGGAUGGUUGUUUGAACCGCAUGGUUCAAACAUAAAAGGUGGCUUCGGCUACCACUUACAGAUGGACCCGCGGCGCAUUAGCUAGUUGGUGAGGUAAYGGCUCACCAAGGCRACGAUGCGUAGCCGACCUGAGAGGGUGAUCGGCCACACUGGGACUGAGACACGGCCCAGACUCCUACGGGAGGCAGCAGUAGGGAAUCUUCCGCAAUGGACGAAAGUCUGACGGAGCAACGCCGCGUGAGUGAUGAAGGUUUUCGGAUCGUAAAGCUCUGUUGUUAGGGAAGAACAAGUACCGUUCGAAUAGGGCGGUACCUKACGGUACCWACCAGAAAGC
This 491-nucleotide ribosomal RNA is filed under the name Bacillus subtilis. RNAcentral describes it as "bacterial SSU rRNA". It matches the Rfam family "Bacterial small subunit ribosomal RNA", at positions 16 to 491 of the family's 1533-position model. Lineage: Bacteria; Bacillati; Bacillota; Bacilli; Caryophanales; Bacillaceae. The record is from RNAcentral.